AGGACGAACGCUGGCGGCGCGCUUAACACAUGCAAGUCGAACGUGAAGCUGGAGCUUGCUCCGGUGGAAAGUGGCGAACGGGUGCGUAACACGUGAGCAACCUGCCCCGAAGACUGGGAUAACACCGGGAAACCGGUGCUAAUACCGGAUACCUUCUUCCGAUCGCAUGGUCGGAUGAAGAAAUGGAUUCCGCUUCGGGAUGGGCUCGCGGCCUAUCAGCUUGUGGUGAGGUAACGGCCCACCAAGGCGACGACGGGUAGCUGGUCUGAGAGGACGACCAGCCACACUGGGACUGAGACACGGCCCAGACUCCUACGGAGGCAGCAGUGGGAAUCUGCUCAAUGGGCAAAGCCUGAAGCAGCGACGCCGCGUGCGGGAUGAAGGCCCUCGGGUUGUAAACCGCUUUCAGCAGGGACAAAUUGACGUACCUGCAGAAGAAAGCCGGCAAUACGUGCCAGCAGUCCGC
RNAcentral lists this ribosomal RNA (466 nucleotides) under uncultured soil bacterium. RNAcentral's name for it is "bacterial SSU rRNA". It matches the Rfam family "Bacterial small subunit ribosomal RNA", at positions 26 to 518 of the family's 1533-position model. The record is from RNAcentral.